UAAAAUAUGUCGUUUUAACAUGCUAAAUAUACCCGGUUUGGUUUCACUUGGUAAAUAUAUCAUUCUCCAUAACAUUUCUUUCUUUCAUUAUCGUUUUAUCAUCUCCGUUUUCUUUCCUCAAUUAUCGUUUAUUACUUCAUCCAAGUGAAUAUUACUAAACCCUAAACCUAAACUUAAACCCUAAAUUUAAACCCUAAACACUAAAGCUAAAUCCUAAACCCUAAAUUUAAACACUAAACCCUAAACCCUAAGCCCUAACCCCAAACCCUAAACCUUAACCCUAAACCCUAAACCCUAAACAUAAACCAAAACCCUAAACCCUAAACUCUAAACCCUAAACCCUAUUGUGUCGAUCUUGAAUUUACAUCUUGAAGUAUUAAUCGUGAAUCCAUUAACUGUAAUCUUUAUAUAGUAAAACAAUGUAUUUUCAAGAGGUUUAGUACCUAAGCUUAGGUGGGGCUGUAAUGUAUAUUCCCUUUUCCC
Molecule: long non-coding RNA, 483 nt
Filed under: Lactuca sativa (garden lettuce)
Lineage: Eukaryota; Viridiplantae; Streptophyta; Magnoliopsida; Asterales; Asteraceae
Description: long non-coding RNA (LSAT_LNC001168)
Source: RNAcentral